RNA transcript from Salarias fasciatus (jewelled blenny), 1762 nucleotides. It is a transcript of the gene named contactin-5, with no coding region annotated. Lineage: Eukaryota; Metazoa; Chordata; Actinopteri; Blenniiformes; Blenniidae. The transcript is spliced from 13 exons. The record is from RefSeq and is a predicted model, not a curated record.
GUGUGUACACUAGCAGCCGUUCAGCCACUCAAACUCCUCACUGAAAGCUGUCAGUGUUCGUCGCUGAACGCCUCAUUUGAAGUCGAUUACACUGCAGCCGUAGAGUUUCCUCCGUGAUGCUGGUUGCCCUCUUUGUGCUCACUCUGGGCCUGUUCUGCUACAGCCAGGGGAACAGUGAGUCUGUUCUGGGGAUUCCUCAGCUGUAUGGUCCAUCAGAGGCUUUGCUGAGACAAGUUGUUGAUUUUGUUUGUGAGCUGCAAAAGUAUCCAGAGAAUGAGACCAUCCAGCUGCGGGUGUAUAAGAUGGGACACCAUGAGAAGUUGUUGGGUGAAUACACGUACCAGCCUGACGAAGUGGCAUCCAUUCCCAUGAUGAUCACGGACUACCAUGAAGGCUUCCUGGAGUGUGUGGCCAAACCGCUCAACGCCAGCAGCUCUAAUAUCACAGCCACGGUCAGCGACCCGCACUACUUAAAGGUUAUCGUGCCGGUGAAAAAUGCAGAAAUCGAAUAUUCAGGACCGAUGGAGUUAUUCGAGGAAGACAUUCUGGAGCUGCGCUGCUUACUUGAAGCUGGAACUCAUGUCUCCUACCAGUGGCUGCUCAACGGCCGGCUCCUCUCUCCGUCUCCACGCCACCAUUUUGCAGAGGACCGGCUCAGGAUCUUCAGAACCACAUCCGGAGACAGCGGCUUCUACACGUGUAUCGCUUCCAACACUUUCAACAACACAGAGGUCUUCACCUCCAACAGCACUGAGAUGGAAAUCACAGUCAAAGUGUUGGCGUCAGACCCCGACAUCUCCUUUGUCGUGUUGAAGGAGAUCCAGAACUAUUCGGCGUUGGUCACCUGCCAGUCAGCCAGAGGGUCUCUGCCCAUCACCUUUUCCCUCUACAACAGCACAGAGCUGGUCUCCAGUGUCACAGCAGAAAAAAAAAAUGCUACAUUCAAGGUCCCGCUGGACUUGAGGCAGCCGCCGGACAGGCUCGAGUGUCAGGCCAACAACAGCGACCCGAUCGCUCACAGUCAGUGGCUGCCACUGAGAGUCGUCCCGGUCAAGGGUCCCGUCACCAUGCUUUACGACCAAGACAUCGGUGAAAACUACGUCGUGAUUGGCCUGAAGAUGUACUGCAGGGCCUCGGAGGGAUCUCACCCUCGGUACCACUGGUUCCUCAACAAGACCCGGCUCCAUGACCGAGGCAGCUUCUACCGUGUGGAUGACCAGCCGCCGCAACAGUCCAUCCUCCACCUGUCGGUCAGGGCCAGCAGCAGCGCCGGGACGUACCACUGCAAAGUGUCAGACAGCUUCGACAACGCCAACGCCGUCGGCAGCAACAGAAAAUACGUGGAUAGAGAAGUGCUGAACCGCCUCCCCAUUCUCGUGGUGGUGAUCGUGUUUGGAAGUUUCGCCAUCCUGAUCAUGCUGGUGUCCGUCUGCUGCAUCUUUGGAGUCAUCUACAGACGCAGGGUGUAUGGAGAGAAGUCUCUACUGACCCUGGAAAUGGAGAGACUGGCCGCAUAUGAGGGCGAGUUGGAGUCCUUAGCCUACACCGAGGCUGGCGAUGUGGCGGAAACAGCAAGCCAGGAUAACUUUGAUGAAGUGAGAUGAGUUGUGAUUCGUCUAUCUUUCAGAGGCUGCAUGCUGGAGCGUUGGUUGGUCCAAAUGCUGGCGGGGCCUUUCUGUGUGGAGUUUUCAUGUUCUCUCCAGUGCUAUGCAGGUCAUUCAGAACAGCCAGUGGUUGCACAACACUGCUCAAGACGCACAGU